RNAcentral lists this unclassified non-coding RNA (351 nucleotides) under uncultured Trichoderma. RNAcentral's name for it is "sequence contains ITS1". The stretch from base 1 to 105 matches the Rfam family "5.8S ribosomal RNA", at positions 50 to 154 of the family's 154-position model. The record is from RNAcentral. Lineage: Eukaryota; Fungi; Ascomycota; Sordariomycetes; Hypocreales; Hypocreaceae.
GAAAUGCGAUAAGUAAUGUGAAUUGCAGAAUUCAGUGAAUCAUCGAAUCUUUGAACGCACAUUGCGCCCGCCAGUAUUCUGGCGGGCAUGCCUGCCCGAGCGUCAUUUCAACCCUCGCGCCCGCUGGGAAACCGGCGAGCACGGUGUUGGGGACCGGCGCGGGGUCGCGAGACCCCGCCCGCCGCCCCCCAAAUGCAGUGGCGGUCCCGCCGGCGCCUUCCCCGCGUAGUAGCAUACACCUCGCGGCCGGGAGCGCUGGCGCGGCACCUAAGCCGUAAAACCCCCCGACGAAUCGCCACCACGGCGAGAUAGUUUGACCUCGGAUCAGGUAGGAAUACCCGCUGAACUUAA